Molecule: non-coding RNA, 234 nt
Organism: Camelina sativa (false flax)
Lineage: Eukaryota; Viridiplantae; Streptophyta; Magnoliopsida; Brassicales; Brassicaceae
Source: RefSeq, a predicted model, not a curated record
CCCAAAACAUUAAAAUAAAAAAUAAAUAAUAAAAAAAAAGGAAAAAUGUGAGACUCUCUCACUGGCAAAAAAGUCUGAAGAAACCUUUGUUUUCAUCGAUGAUAUAAGAAAACUCUAAAAUAGAAAACCUCGCUGGUCAAAUCGAAUCGAUCCACAUCGCAGGGGGAGAGAGACGAGAGACGACGCCAUAAGCAGAUUCUUCGCUCUGUUUUUUUUUUUUUUGUUUCUCUGAUA